This 404-nucleotide ribosomal RNA is filed under the name uncultured bacterium. RNAcentral's name for it is "bacterial SSU rRNA". It matches the Rfam family "Bacterial small subunit ribosomal RNA", at positions 96 to 518 of the family's 1533-position model. The record is from RNAcentral.
GGCGGAACGGGUGAGGUAAUGUGUAGAGAAUCUGCCCCACGAGCGAGGGACACAAGUUGGAAACGACUGCUAAUACCUCAUAUGCGCGUAGCUGAGAUGCUAUUCGUGAAAACUCCGGUGCUCUGGGAUGAGUCUGCAUCUGAUUAGCUAGUUGGGGUGUAAUGGACCACCAAGGCGACGAUCAGUAGCUGGUUUGAGAGGAUGAUCAGCCACAAUGGGACUGAGACACGGCCCAUACUCCUACGGGAGGCAGCAGUAGGGAAUUUUGCGCAAUGGGCGAAAGCCUGACGCAAGCAACGCCGCGUGAUUGAAUAAGCCCUUCGGGGUGUAAAGAUCUGUCAGUGGGGACGAAACUUGACGGUACCCACAGAGGAAGCAUCGGCUAACUCCGUGCCAGCAGCUGC